Molecule: ribosomal RNA, 378 nt
Filed under: uncultured bacterium
Lineage: Bacteria
Description: bacterial SSU rRNA
Rfam family: Bacterial small subunit ribosomal RNA
Source: RNAcentral
AUUGAACGCUGGCGGAAUGCUUUACACAUGCAAGUCGAACGGUAGAGGGGGCAACCCCUUGAGAGUGGCGAACGGGUGAGUAAUAUAUCGGAACGUGCCCAGUCGUGAGGGAUAACGUAGCGAAAGUUACGCUAAUACCGCAUACGAUCUAAGGAUGAAAGCGGGGGAUCGCAAGACCUCGCGCGAUUGGAGCGGCCGAUAUCAGAUUAGGUAGUUGGUGAGGUAAAGGCUCACCAAGCCAACGAUCUGUAGCUGGUCUGAGAGGACGACCAGCCACACUGGGACUGAGACACGGCCCAGACUCCUACGGGAGGCAGCAGUGGGGAAUUUUGGACAAUGGGCGCAAGCCUGAUCCAGCAAUGCCGCGUGCAGGAUGAA